This is a non-coding RNA of Paramuricea clavata, 215 nucleotides long. NCBI's taxonomy places the organism in Eukaryota, Metazoa, Cnidaria, Anthozoa, Malacalcyonacea, Plexauridae. The record is from the annotation of a GenBank genome assembly.
UUUUAAAUAGUACUUAAAAUACUCAUUAAUAAUUCAUAAACCUUGUGGCAAAUCAUGUCAGCCAUAAUAUGUCACGUGGAGUGACUUUAUAUCUGAUAAAACACAUGUGGCAUUAUAUAAUUGUUCAUCUUAAUUAGCAUGAUUAUACUAUGGUUCAUCCUAAUUAGUAUUCUUUUGUAGUCGUAUUUUAAGCUAUUCAAAACACUUGUUGUCGU